GAUGAAGAACGUAGCGAAAUGCGAUAAGUAAUGUGAAUUGCAGAAUUCAGUGAAUCAUCGAAUCUUUGAACGCACAUUGCGCCCCUUGGUAUUCCGAGGGGCAUGCCUGUUCGAGCGUCAUUAUAACCCUCAAGCUCAGCUUGGUGUUGGGGCCUGCUGCAGUGGCAGCCCUUAAAAUCAGUGGCGGCGCCAUCUGGCUCUAAGCGUAGUAAUUCUUCUCGCUAUGGAGUCCUGGUGGAUGCUUGCCAUCAACCCCCAAUUUUUCUAUGGUUGACCUCGGAUCAGGUAGGGAUACCCGCUGAACUUAAGCAUAUCAAUAAACGGAGGA
This 328-nucleotide unclassified non-coding RNA is filed under the name soil metagenome. RNAcentral describes it as "partial contains 5.8S ribosomal RNA, internal transcribed spacer 2, and large subunit ribosomal RNA". The stretch from base 1 to 120 matches the Rfam family "5.8S ribosomal RNA", at positions 35 to 154 of the family's 154-position model. The record is from RNAcentral.